CUGCUGCCUCCCGUAGGAGUCUGGCCCGUGUCUCAGUACCAGUGUGGGGGACCUUCCUCUCAGAACCCCUACGCAUCGUCGCCUCGGUGGGCCGUUACCCCGCCGACUAGCUAAUGCGCCGCAUGGCCAUCCGCAGCCGAUAAAUCUUUAAACAUCGGGAGAUGCCUCCCAACGUUGUUACGCGGUAUUAGACGGAAUUUCUUCCGCUUAUCCCCCUGCUGCGGGCAGGUUCCAUACGUGUUACUCACCCGUGCGCCGGUCGCCGG
This 266-nucleotide ribosomal RNA is filed under the name uncultured bacterium. RNAcentral describes it as "partial 16S ribosomal RNA". The record is from RNAcentral.